This 373-nucleotide RNase P RNA is filed under the name Mucilaginibacter ginsenosidivorans. Its description in RNAcentral is "Sphingoterrabacterium koreensis Bacterial RNase P class A". It matches the Rfam family "Bacterial RNase P class A". From Rfam's summary of the family: Ribonuclease P (RNase P) is a ubiquitous endoribonuclease, found in archaea, bacteria and eukarya as well as chloroplasts and mitochondria. Its best characterised activity is the generation of mature 5'-ends of tRNAs by cleaving the 5'-leader elements of precursor-tRNAs. The record is from Rfam by way of RNAcentral. Lineage: Bacteria; Pseudomonadati; Bacteroidota; Sphingobacteriia; Sphingobacteriales; Sphingobacteriaceae.
AUUGCAAAUCGUUCUAUCGCUCCCGGCUCCUGGCCGGGGGAGGAAAGUCCGGGCAACACAGAGCAUCCUGCUUCCUAACGGGAAGGCGCCGUUCAGCCGGCGACAGAAAGUGCCACAGAAAAUAAACCGCCGCGACUUGUCGGGGCAAGGGUGAAAACGUGAGGUAAGAGCUCACGGCUUUCCCGGGCGACCGGGAUCGCGGUAAACCUCAGGAGUUGAAAGACCAAAUAGGUCCCGGAUCGGAAGCUGCUCGCUUCUAAUUCCGAUUUAUCGGGAUAGUCGGGAUGGGUAGGUUGCUUGAACCUGUCAGCGAUGGCAGGGCCAGAUAAAUGAUAGAAGUUCACAGAACCCGGCUUAUAGCUUUGCUGCUGAA